This 1487-nucleotide long non-coding RNA is filed under the name Daucus carota (carrot). Its description in RNAcentral is "long non-coding RNA (DCAR_LNC001524)". Lineage: Eukaryota; Viridiplantae; Streptophyta; Magnoliopsida; Apiales; Apiaceae. The record is from RNAcentral.
CUUAUAAAGUUCACACGUUCCUCUUGACUAGCACUAGGUCUAGGCUUUGAAACUCCUGCUGGGAUAUAAGCUUCGUAGAUUGAAUUCGCAGAGGCAUUUCCUCCAACCUCAACUAUGGAAUCAAGUUCAUCAUCGGACCAUUCAUCUAAUGUCACAGACAAAACCUGUUCCAUUUGUAAACCUCAUUUCAAAUUAUCUUGGGAACAAAAUCCAAAUGAGUGAACAAAAGGCUACAACUCACCACUGGAAGAUAGGAACAAUUGGCAGAUCCUAGAUCUAUAUUACGAAUAUAAGCUUUCUUUCCAGUUUAUUAAUCAUAUACAUGCAAGAUAGUUGUCCAAAAAAACACAUAGAUGCAAAAGUAGGCUUUCCUCCCGGAAGAUACAUAACCGAAAACCGAACUAACUGGAGUUUUAAAAAAAUUCAGACCAAACCGAACCGAAUUUGUACGGUUCGGUUCGGUUAUUUCGGUUCAGUUUUGCUCACCCCUACAAAUUUGUAAAUUAUACGAUAAAAUCAUCCGGUCGCUUGUAUGUUGGCAUAGGCACCAAGUCUUGAAACACAAUGCAUAGUUACAGGCAACAUAUUUAAGGAAAUGUUAAAAUAUGCAUUAGGCAGUGUAGUCCAGUGAGAACAUUUUAAUAACCAUAANCCAAAUACUGAAGUAUAAUGCUUACGACUGAGGAGCAGAGGCAAUUUCAAAAGUUACCAAUUUAUGUGAUGUACUUGAAGAACUUCGAAAACUAUCCGUAAUCUUUGAGGAAAAACUUGUUCGUAAAGAAGCCUUGCUGGAAGUUGACAAGAUCCGCAAGCUGGGUUUGAGGAAAUCUUGACUCUCAUACUUGGACCUGCAGCAAAGAGAAGAAAAAACAUAAUGAACUAGAUAGCCUUCUGUAAACCACUUGUUCAAGUGCAACUGCAGCUGGAACAACAAAAUAAACGAAUCUCUCUCUCUCUCUCUCUCUCUCACACACACACACACAGAGGGAGGGAGAGAAGCAUGGUGUUUAUGUAAUUGUCAAUUUUCUCUGAUACACUAAAGCUAGUUAAUUUAACUUAUCAUCUCCCAUCAAAUAUUAAUGUCAAAGGAUCGGAUAAAAGGAAUGAGGUAUUGAAAAUUAAAAUGCAGCUGUCAACACAAAUUUAUUCAGUCAGCUAACCUUAUAAAGUUCACACGUUCCUCUUGACUAGCACUAGGUCUAGGCUUUGAAACUCCUGCUGGGAUAUAAGCUUCGUAGAUUGAAUUCGCAGAGGCAUUUCCUCCAACCUCAACUAUGGAAUCAAGUUCAUCAUCGGACCAUUCAUCUAAUGUCACAGACAAAACCUGUUCCAUUUGUAAACCUCAUUUCAAAUUAUCUUGGGAACAAAAUCCAAAUGAGUGAACAAAAGGCUACAACUCACCACUGGAAGAUAGGAACAAUUGGCAGAUCCUAGAUCUAUAUUACGAAUAUAAGCUUUCUUUCCAGUUUAUUAAUCAUAUACAUGCA